AACGAACGCUGGCGGCAUGCCUAACACAUGCAAGUCGAACGAGACCUUCGGGUCUAGUGGCGCACGGGUGCGUAACGCGUGGGAACCUGCCCUUAGGUUCGGAAUAACUCCCCGAAAGGGGUGCUAAUACCGGAUAAUGUCUUCGGACCAAAGAUUUAUCGCCUUUGGAUGGGCCCGCGUUGGAUUAGCUAGUUGGUAGGGUAAAAGCCUACCAAGGCGACGAUCCAUAGCUGGUCCGAGAGGAUGAUCAGCCACACUGGGACUGAGACACGGCCCAGGCUCCUACGGGAGGCAGCAGUGGGGAAUAUUGGACAAUGGGCGAAAGCCUGAUCCAGCAAUGCCGCGUGAGUGAUGAAGGCCUUAGGGUUGUAAAGCUCUUUUACCCGGGAUGAUAAUGACAGUACCGGGAGAAUAAGCUCCGGCUAACUCCGUG
This 433-nucleotide ribosomal RNA is filed under the name uncultured bacterium. RNAcentral's name for it is "partial 16S ribosomal RNA". It matches the Rfam family "Bacterial small subunit ribosomal RNA", at positions 29 to 507 of the family's 1533-position model. The record is from RNAcentral.